This 1266-nucleotide ribosomal RNA is filed under the name metagenome. Its description in RNAcentral is "SSU rRNA". It matches the Rfam family "Eukaryotic small subunit ribosomal RNA", at positions 558 to 1772 of the family's 1831-position model. The record is from RNAcentral.
AGUCUGGUGCCAGCAGCCGCGGUAAUUCCAGCUCCAAUAGUGUAUAUUAAUGUUCCUGCUGUUAUUCGAUGCUCGUAGUUGGAUUUCUGGGGGCUGAGAUUGGAAGGUGGCCAAGGUCACCGCCGAACUCUUCCUUCAUCCACCUGUUAACGUUGUCCGGGAUUUGUUUCUCGGCUUCAGGCUCAGGUAUUUUACCCUUUCUAUAUAUUCAUUUAUUUAUCUUCUUUUUGAGUAAAUUAUAGUGUUUCAGGCAGGCGUGCGCCGGAAUACUUUAGCAUGGAAUAAUCGAAUUGGACCGUGUAUUCUUAUAGAAUUCUUCCUUAUUUGUUGGUUUCAAGGACACGGAAAUGGUUAAUAGGGAUAGUGUUUUCAGGGGAGGCAUUAGUAUUUAAUUUCCAGAGGUGAAAUUCUUUGAAAUAUUAAAGACUAACUUAUGCGAAAGCAUUUAUUUUGCCAAUAAUGUUUUCAUUAAUCAUUGAACGAAAGUUAGGGGAUCAAAGACGAUCAGAUACCGUCCUAGUCUUAACCAUAAACGUUGCCGACUAGGGAUCGGAGAGCGUGCACAUUCCGCCUUCGGCACCUUACGAGAAAUCAAAGUCUUUUGGGUUCUGGGGGUAGUAUGGUCGCAAGGCUGAAACUUAAAGGAAUUGACGGAAGGGCACCACCAGGAGUGGAGCUUGCGGCUCAAUUUGACUCAACACGGGAAAUCUUACCAGGUCCAGACAUAGCGAGGAUUGACAGAUUGAUAGCUCUUUCUUGAUUCUAUGGGUAUUUAUUUUAAUUUUGGUGGUGCAUGGCCGUUCUUAGUUGGUGGAGUGAUUUGUCUGGUUAAUUCCGUUAAACGAACGAGACCUCAGCCUGCUAAAUAGUUACCUGUCUUUCUUUUACGAGACUUGAUAACUUCUUAGAGGGACGUUGUGUGCAACCACAAGGAAGUUGAGGCAAUAACAGGUCUGUGAUGCCCUUAGAUGUCCUGGGCCGCACGCGUGCUACACUGAUACGUACAACAAGGUAUAUGCAUUUAUGCAUCGAUGCUGCUCCGAAAUAGACACAGCUAAAUCUUCUAAAAUACGUAUCGUGCUGCGGAUAGAUCGUUGAAAUUAUGGAUCUUGAAGGUGGAAUUCCUAGUAAGCGCGGGUCAUCAACCCGCGUUGAUUACGUCCCUGCCCUUUGUACACACCGCCCGUCGCUCCUACCAAUUUCGAGUGGCUCGGUGAACCUCUUUGGACUGUCGAGCAAUCGCGAAAUUAGAGUGAACCUGGUCAC